GACGAACGCUGGCGGCGUGCUUAACACAUGCAAGUCGAACGGAAAGGCCCCUUUGGGGGUACUCGAGUGGCGAACGGGUGAGUAACACGUGAGUAACCUGCCCUUGACUUCGGGAUAACUUCAGGAAACUGGGGCUAAUACCGGAUAGGAAUCCUUGCUGCAUGGUGGGGGUUGGAAAGCUUCGGCGGUUUUGGAUGGACUCGCGGCUUAUCAGCUUGUUGGUGGGGUAGUGGCUUACCAAGGCUUUGACGGGUUGCCGGCCUGAGAGGGCGACCGGCCACAUUGGGACUGAGAUACGGCCCAGACUCCUACGGGAGGCAGCAGUGGGGAAUAUUGCACAAUGGGCGGAAGCCUGAUGCAGCAACGCCGCGUGCGGGAUGACGGCCUUCGGGUUGUAAACCGCUUUCAGCAGGGGCGAAGCUUGUGGUGACGGUACCUGCAGAAGAAGCACCGGCUAACUACGUG
Molecule: ribosomal RNA, 465 nt
Filed under: uncultured bacterium
Lineage: Bacteria
Description: partial 16S ribosomal RNA
Rfam family: Bacterial small subunit ribosomal RNA
Source: RNAcentral